Acanthosepion pharaonis is the source of this 113-nucleotide non-coding RNA. NCBI's taxonomy places the organism in Eukaryota, Metazoa, Mollusca, Cephalopoda, Sepiida, Sepiidae. The record is from the annotation of a GenBank genome assembly.
UACGCCCAUAUCACGUUGAAACACAUGUUCCCGUACGAUCACCAAAGUUAAGCAACGUCGAGCCUGGUCAGUAUCUACACAUGGGUGACCACUUAGGAAUGCCUGAUGCUGUA